RNAcentral lists this ribosomal RNA (245 nucleotides) under uncultured bacterium. RNAcentral describes it as "partial 16S ribosomal RNA". It matches the Rfam family "Bacterial small subunit ribosomal RNA", at positions 91 to 334 of the family's 1533-position model. The record is from RNAcentral.
CUUAGUGGCGAACGGGUGAGUAACGCGUGAGGAACCUGCCUCAAAGAGGGGGGAAACAGUUGGAAACGACUGCUAAUACCGCAUAAGCCCACGACCCGGCAUCGGGAAGAGGGAAAAGGAGCAAUCCGCUUUGAGAUGGCCUCGCGUCCGAUUAGCUAGUUGGUGAGGUAACGGCCCACCAAGGCAACGAUCGGUAGCCGGACUGAGAGGUUGAACGGCCACAUUGGGACUGAGACACGGCCCAG